UACAGAGGUGGCAAGCGUUGUUCGGAAUUACUGGGCGUAAAGGGCGCGUAGGCGGCCUUCUAAGUCAGACGUGAAAUCCCUCGGCUUAACCGGGGAACUGCGUCUGAUACUGGAUGGCUUGAGUGUGGGAGAGGGAUGCGGAAUUCCAGGUGUAGCGGUGAAAUGCGUAGAUAUCUGGAGGAACACCGGUGGCGAAGGCGACGUCCUGGACCGGCAUUGACGCUGAGGCGCGAAAGCCAGGGGAGCAAACGGG
Molecule: ribosomal RNA, 253 nt
Filed under: uncultured bacterium
Lineage: Bacteria
Description: partial 16S ribosomal RNA
Rfam family: Bacterial small subunit ribosomal RNA
Source: RNAcentral